This 497-nucleotide ribosomal RNA is filed under the name uncultured bacterium. RNAcentral's name for it is "partial 16S ribosomal RNA". It matches the Rfam family "Bacterial small subunit ribosomal RNA", at positions 28 to 507 of the family's 1533-position model. The record is from RNAcentral.
GAUGAACGCUGGCGGCGUGCCUAAUACAUGCAAGUCGUGCGAACGGACGAGAAGCUUGCUUCUCUGAUGUUAGCGGCGGACGGGUGAGUAACACGUGGAUAACCUACCUAUAAGACUGGGAUAACUUCGGGAAACCGUAGCUAAUACCGGAUAAUAUUUUGAACCGCAUGGUUCAAAAGUGAAAGACGGUCUUGCUGUCACUUAUAGAUGGAUCCGCGCUGCAUUAGCUAGUUGGUAAGGUAACGGCUUACCAAGGCAACGAUGCAUAGCCGACCUGAGAGGGUGAUCGGCCACACUGGAACUGAGACACGGUCCAGACUCCUACGGGAGGCAGCAGUAGGGAAUCUUCCGCAAUGGGCGAAAGCCUGACGGAGCAACGCCGCGUGAGUGAUGAAGGUCUUCGGAUCGUAAAACUCUGUUAUUAGGGAAGAACAUAUGUGUAAGUAACUGUGCACAUCUUGACGGUACCUAAUCAGAAAGCCACGGCUAACUACGUG